AGAGUUUGAUCAUGGCUCAGAACGAACGCUGGCGGCGUGCCUAACACAUGCAAGUCGAACGUGAUUGGGGAGCUUGCUCCUCAUGAAAGUGGCGCACGGGUGAGUAACGCGUAGAUAAUCUACCUGAUGAUUUGGGAUAACACUUCGAAAGGGGUGCUAAUACCGAAUAAGCCCACGGAGUCCUUGGACACUGCGGGAAAAGGAGGGGACCUUCGGGCCUUCCGUCAUCAGAUGAGUCUGCGUACCAUUAGCUAGUUGGUAGGGUAAAGGCCUACCAAGGCGACGAUGGUUAGCUGGUCUGAGAGGAUGAUCAGCCACACUGGAACUGAGACACGGUCCAGACUCCUACGGGAGGCAGCAGUGGGGAAUUUUGCGCAAUGGGGGAAACCCUGACGCAGCAACGCCGCGUGAGUGAUGAAGGCCCUUGGGUCGUAAAGCUCUGACAGAGGGAAAGAAAUGUGGGUGGCUAAUAUCCAUUCCACUUGACGGUACCCUCAAAGGAAGCACCGGCUAACUCCGUGCCAGCAGCCGCGGUAAUACGGAGGGUGCGAGCGUUGUUCGGAUUUAUUGGGCGUAAAGCGCGUGUAGGCGGUUUUAUAAGUCUGAUGUGAAAGCCCUGGGCUCAACCUGGGAAGUGCAUUGGAUACUGUAAGACUUGAAUACGGGAGAGGGUAGUGGAAUUCCUGGUGUAGGAGUGAAAUCCGUAGAUAUCAGGAGGAACACCGGUGGCGAAGGCGGCUGCCUGGACCGAUAUUGACGCUGAGACGCGAAAGCGUGGGUAGCAAACAGGAUUAGAUACCCUGGUAGUCC
This 810-nucleotide ribosomal RNA is filed under the name uncultured bacterium. Its description in RNAcentral is "bacterial SSU rRNA". It matches the Rfam family "Bacterial small subunit ribosomal RNA", at positions 8 to 796 of the family's 1533-position model. The record is from RNAcentral.